GGUUGUGGUUCAGUGGUGGAGUGCUUGCCUAGCAUGCAUGAGGCACUGGGUUCGAUCCUCAGCACCA
This 67-nucleotide transfer RNA is filed under the name Marmota monax (woodchuck). RNAcentral describes it as "tRNA.Ala". The record is from RNAcentral. Lineage: Eukaryota; Metazoa; Chordata; Mammalia; Rodentia; Sciuridae.